GCUGUAAGUUGUAAUCUGUGGUUCGUUACCCUACCUUCCCAUUGAAAUGGUGUUGUGGUGGUUUUUAGGUCAAUAAUCCUAAUAUCUUUUUAAUAAAUUAUUGAAAUGCAGUGUUCUUGUAUCUUAUCAUAACAGCAACAAUAUUUUGUUCAUGUGUUGUGCCUAUUAUGGAUGUAUUGUGCUUUGAAAAUAUUUAUAUUUUGUGGGAGUAAUGACACUGAAGAAAAUCGCGAAAAUGUCAACAAAAUCUCAUAUUUCUACGGAAUUGAGUGAAACGAUAAGCAAUGUUUUGGGUAAAAAUGUUAAAAUUCUAUACAAAACCCUUAUUCGAAUGGAAUCAAGAGGUGAUAAAGUGGACAACAAAGUUUUGGUUGUAACAGCUUACAGAAUUUUCAUUACAACAGCUAAGGUUCCAACAAGGAUCGACAAUGGAUUUCACUUGAUGGAAAUAGAAGCGCUCGAGAGUAAAAAGGCCAAUCAUCUGUCUAUAACACUGAUCCAUGAACACAAGCCAGUGUCUAUACUUAUAGGCGAAGAAGGAACAUCGGAUGGAGUGCUUAAUGUCCUACACGCGUUAGUUGCAGCCUUUGACGACUUAUUUCCAAAUGUAGCCAUGAUUGACAUUAUAUCCAAGGUAAAUCUACCAUACCCUGUGCCACAAGUGAGCGGCACUCGAAAACACUCAACCUGCGGUGAUUUCUCCAAUCAGUACGCAGCUAUGUGCGAUCUCUGCCAAACGCCCUUCAGAGCUGAAGUAGCAUGGGACAUUGAUACAAUAUAUCUUGCACAUGACAUAAGGAUGUUACAUCUAAAAGAUUUCGAUCAUUUAGAUCAAAGAGACCUAAUCCCUUUAGUGAUGGCGUUACAACAUAAUACAUGGUUCAACGGUGUUUGUGGGGAUGGGGUACGGGCGAGUGGUGAGGCUUGGGAGAGUGUAUGUCGCGUGGUGAGGUCUGCCAGACCACCCCCGGCUCGCCUGUCAUGGCGCGCCGCCGCGCUUAGACACGACCACGCUGCAAGACUGGGACACGCUUUGACCAGAGCCAGACACCCCCCAGCUAUGCACACCAUCGAUUUCUCUCAAAAUCAUAUUGAAGACAAAGGUGCUAUUAGUAUACUCGGUGGGCUCGCGAACAAUCCGGACGGGCUGAGGCACAUUGCGUUAUCACAAUGCGGCCUCACCGGCAAAACUGUGAUGCAUCUAGCGACCAUGCUCAAUGACAACCCAUGCCACCUGUCUACGCUGUCACACCUCGACCUCUCCUACAAUAACCUCAAAGAUGACGUACAUAAUUUAUACAACUUCUUGGCACAACCGAAUGUAUUGACGUAUUUGAACUUGACAAACACAGAAACUACGUUAGAAAACGUAAGUAAUAAAAUGUGGGGUGCAUUGUUACGUGGUUGCGCGGCCCGCCUGGCGACUCUGUCAGUGGCCCGCAAUCCCUGGUCCGCGGCGAGACGCGCGCGCGACCCGCCGCCAUCUUUCCGACAGUUCUUCACUGCCUGCCUCGCCCUCACUGACCUCGAUUUUUCAUACUGCAAGAUGCCACCUGAUGCCCUCAAGAGUCUGUUACUCGGGUUAGCGUGUAACGAGAGCGCUACUGGUGUGCAAUUGAAUCUGUCUGGAGUAUUGUCUUCCUCGCAAGCCGCGCACGUGCUCGAGUCUUGCAUACACGGCGUCAGAUGUUUGCAGUCCUUGGACUUGUCCGAUAACAGUAUGGAAUUCGAAUUAUCUGGUAUUGUGAGGGCGAUUGGGAAGAACCAUUCUAUCACUCACUUGUCUCUAAGUAAGCUGACCGGGAAAAGGUCUUAUGCACCGCCUUUAAUACAGGCUCUAGUCCACGUUCUUCAAGAACCAGAUACAGCUUUGACUUCGUUGGAUCUCAGUGAUUGUAAACUUAAGGGUGAUUUGUACGGGCUUCUGAACGCACUGGGCGGGGCCCGUCGGCUGCGGUCGUUGGAUGUGGGCGGGAACCUCGCGGGCGACGCGGGCGCACGAUUGCUCGCUAAAGCUCUACAGUGUAACUGCACGCUACAGACCCUGUAUAUAGACAGGAAUGCUUUUAGCUUGCAAGGUCUGACGGACAUAGCGACGGCCUUACGUCGGUCGGUGAGCGUGCGUCGCGUGGAGUUCCCGGGCUGCGACGCGGCCGCCGGGGGACGCGGCGCUAGUGAACGGGUCGCCACGCUCUGGAGAGACCUGCACGAACGGCUGGCGAACAACUGCAGCCCGACGCAGACGCACACGCUGCGCGCGCUGGCCCUGGAGCGCGCCUGGGCGGGCGGGGAGGCGGCGGCGGCGCUGGCAGCGCACGCGGCCGCCGCGCUGCCGCCGCCGCCGCUGCCCGCCGCGCUCGAGCGGGCCGCCGCCGCCGCGCACCAGCUGCUGCACCAGUACCUGCAGAGAUGCGGCGAAGUGUUCGCGGCGAUGGGUGGCAGUGGUACGAGUGGUGAGCUGGUGACUCUACAAGCAGUGCGGGACGCCAUGGCGCCCUGUACCACUUCUCUGCAGGACCUGCUCAAUCAAGCGGUGGAGAGCCUCGCCCUCCUGGCUUGUGAGAAUGUGGACCACAUGGACAGUGAGCCCAUGCCCAGCGCUGACGGAGACAUCCCUGAUCUGCUCACACCUAUAUCACAUUCUGGGAAAUUGGAUUACUUGAAUUUGGCCACACCACUGGGUUGUCGUCGCCGUGAGCGCGGAUGUCGCCGCGUCCGCCCGAAGUCGGUGGCCGAGCAACAAUGCAGCAGCAAUGAGAUGCUGUCGCUGCCGCCGCUGCAUGCUGAGGCCGCGGACGCACUGGCUGAGCUACCCGCGCAUACUCUGCGACACCUUGUUAAAGGUCGACCUAGACGAGCUAAGACUAGGGCGCCAACACGGCCCAUUACAGAUCAGUCACAAGAUAUUGAUGAAGGAUUGGAGGAGUUCUGGCGCACGUGUCGCACGCCGCCGGGCAGCGAGGAGGCGUCCCUGUCGGCGCGCACGCCGCUGACGUCCCGCUCGCUGCACUCGCUGUCGUCGCUCGCCUCGCCCUCGCCGCUGCGGCACUCGCCCACUCUGCAGCGCGACGAUACAAUGUACAGUGUGACAUCGGGUGAAAGCACACCGGUUCUAUUAGAAUGUGAAGUAUCCCGUUGCAAGUCUUCCGACAAUGUAGGCAUGAAGACCUCGGCUUCCACGCCCCCGCCUUCCCGAUCUUCAGACAACGUUAACACCAUGGGGAACGGGUGCGCGCGUACACCCGGCAAGGCGCGGCCCUGGUCCGUGGCGGGAGUCAACCCUGACAAUAACGCCGCUUGUACUACCGAAGGCGUGGAGGCGUGCGUGGGCGGCAGCAUCGUGGGCAUCACGCCGGGCGCCGCAUUAACCAGUAACCAACUUUCAGACGCUAUUCUAUACUGAACGAUCUAUGUGCCCUGUGCCGUCUCGCUGUAUAGGUUCAAUGUUACGAGAUCAUCCUUUAACUCCAGAGGGUACUGAGACCUAAGCCAAGCUCGGGUGCAGUCAGCGUGACGGAGACAGUACGUGAUAGUUGAGCAGGGUUCAAUGUCCAGAUAUUACACAAAAACGGAUUUUAUUCUCGGAUGCUCACAAUUGUGCCAGUUAGAAUGUUAACGUUUUAGACAGUAAAGUAGUUACUGAUUAGGAUUCUAAUAUUGUAUUUGAGUAAAACUGAACGCCAUUUUAGUUAUUGUGCGGAAAGAUACAUUUUUAACUUCUAACUUUAAGGACAUUAUGAAUUGAUGAUACAUGGUCAUAAUAAUUCCAAGUAACUUAUGCUAGGAUUAAAAUUAAAAUAUAUUGUAUAAUCAUUUUCUAUUUACUGUGAUUCAGUUAGUAUUAUGUUACUGAUUCGUGUAGUCAUUAAUAUAUUUUAAUCGCUUAUAAUUUAUAGAUAUAUUCGUAACCUAUCCCACUAAACGGAUAUAUUAUUUUAAGUGGGAUAUAUAUUAUUUGAUGUAAUGAAUUAUUAUUUCUUCUAUACGAUAAAAUUUGUAUUAUAAUCUCAUGAGAUUCAUAUUUAUUUAAUUUGAAAGAUGUUUUUGCUUUGCCAUUGAGCUUGCCGUGGUUUCUUGACAAACAAUAUUUCUACCAUGUUUGUAAAAAUGUUUUAACGAGUUCUAAUGUCAGUAUUGAUAAGACACGAUGUUUUAGACGUUGAUCAAAUGCAGUAAUCUGGUAGAUUUUAAAAGUAUGUGACACAAAGAUAGAGUUAAGGUGGGCUCUUUAGCUGCGUAAUGCUUUUAAUUAUGGUUACCUCCUAACGCACAAAUCUUCAGAUUUCGGUAAUUUCUACGCGUUCAGCGUAUCUAGGGUAAAUGUCUACAUCCUAUUGUAAAAUAUUAGUGAAUUUAUGAUAAUUCUGUUCCGAAACGCAGAUCAUUCGCGAUUUUCUUACUGCUUGAUGACUAUGACAAGUAAAAAACUAAUGGUAGCGCAAUACCACCUCACAGACAUGCCAUAAUUAUUAACUAUUUUAAUUAUGCUUGUUAGUCCGGGUAUUGAUAAGUCGUUAUUACAAAAGAAUAUUACCAGUAUGACCUCAAAACAAAUAGGUGCUACUACAUACUUGAUUGACUCAGUUGGACACAUGUUGAUCAAUUUGUACUGAAAUCAACGCCAAAAUAGUUUCACAUAAGAACCAUGGUUUGUCAAGUAUGCAGUAAAAUAAAUGGCCAACACUAGGUUUAAACCAUUACAAUUUUAGCAAUGAAAUAAUGUAAAUAUAUAAUCUUUGUGAAUUCGUUCAGCAUUGGUAAGUUAGGAACUUUGUUCGAGAACUAAUUGGUCUUAACUAGUCAUAUUUUAAAAGGCCUAUAUUAUUAAUUACGCAUUACGCACAAUUUAUUUACGUCCGAUUAUAUUAUGAAUUGUGAGAAUAAUUUGUUUUUAAUAUAAUUUACCAUGACAGAUAUCUUCCAGUUUAUACAUUCCUUUGUAAAUUUUAAAGUAGACAUGAAGUAUUUGAAAAUAUUGAACAAGUGUGAUUUUUAAAAUGAAGUUCAAAACGUGAAAGUGAAUUUUUAGAUUAGUGCACUUGCAGAGAUGUAUGUAAGGUUCAAUUUUGCGAUAAUUUGGUGAAAGUAGAUAACUCGCCCCAUACAGUUAAGUGUUCAUUAGAGUAAAUAUUUGUAAACGAUUACAUUCAUUUAUAUCUCUUGAAUUCAUAAAGGCUGUCUCGUACUGGAGUUUCCUGUAUGUAAAAUUACUGAUCGAGGUAGAUGUAUAUUGCUAAAUUAUUUCAUAGUAUUUUUAUAUUCAUUCCAAUUUAGUUGGUUUUAUCUAGCUCUUUGGUACCAGACUGAUUUUAAGGUACUUUUAUUUUAUGGUGCAAUUUAUGUCUAGAGCGUUGUGAUAAUCGUUUAAAAUUACAUACAAUAUACAAA
This is an RNA transcript of Spodoptera frugiperda (fall armyworm), 5388 nucleotides long. It is a transcript of the gene named F-actin-uncapping protein LRRC16A, with no coding region annotated. NCBI's taxonomy places the organism in Eukaryota, Metazoa, Arthropoda, Insecta, Lepidoptera, Noctuidae. The record is from RefSeq and is a predicted model, not a curated record. The transcript is spliced from 29 exons.